This 254-nucleotide ribosomal RNA is filed under the name uncultured bacterium. RNAcentral describes it as "partial 16S ribosomal RNA". It matches the Rfam family "Bacterial small subunit ribosomal RNA", at positions 524 to 776 of the family's 1533-position model. The record is from RNAcentral.
UACGUAGGGGGCGAGCGUUGUCCGAAGUUACUGGGCGUAAAGCGCGCGUAGGCGGUCAUUUAAGUCUGAGGUGAAAGGUUCAGCGCUCAACGUGAACAGUGCCUUGGAUACUGGGUGACUUGAGUUCGGGAGGGGGCAGUGGAAUUCCAGGUGUAGCGGUGAAAUGCGUAGAUAUCUGGAGGAACACCGAUGGCGAAGGCAGCUGCCUGGCCCAGAACUGACGCUGAGGUGCGAAGGCGUGGGGAGCGAACGGG